Molecule: ribosomal RNA, 684 nt
Filed under: Neottia cordata
Lineage: Eukaryota; Viridiplantae; Streptophyta; Magnoliopsida; Asparagales; Orchidaceae
Description: eukaryotic LSU rRNA
Rfam family: 5.8S ribosomal RNA (bases 237-392)
Source: RNAcentral
CAAGGUUUCCGUAGGUGAACCUGCGGAAGGAUCAUUGUCGAGACCAAAACAAAUUGGGAGAUUUAGCGAACUCAUGAACUAAGUUGUGGCAGUCAUUGUCACAAAACAAUCAUACAAUAUUGUCUCAUCUCUUUAGGGAGAAGGUAAAUGUUGGAUGAAAACCCGAGCUAGCGCAUUUUCGCGCCAAGAUAAUGUGGAAAAAUGAGCCCCAACAGAUAUGGUGGCAUUGAUUAUAUGACUCUCGGCAACGGAUAUCUAGGCUCUCGCAUCGAUGAAGAGCGCAGCGAAAUGCGAUACGUGGUGCGAAUUGCAGAAUCCCGUGAACCAUCAAGUCUUUGAACGCAAGUUGCGCCCGAGGCUAAUCGGCCGAGGGCACGUCUGCCUGGGCGUCAAGCAUUUUGUUUCUUCGUGCCAUCACCACCCCACUAAUAGGUGUGCUAGUGAUGCUCGAAUGUGAAGAGUGGUUCGCCGUGCCCUUUGGUGCGGCGGACUGAAAAGCGGGUGUUUAUCCUCCCGGCCAUGAUAGACAAAGGGUGGACGAAAGCCACGAGCACGGCCAAACAAUGUCUCAGGCUGGCCAGAGGAAGAUUAUACAUCCAUAGUGAACCCAAACUCAUAUGCCGUAUCGUAAGAGUCGGCUUGGAAUGCGACCCCAGGAUGGGCGGGGCUACCCGCUGAGUUUAA